GACGAACGCUGGCGGCGUGCUUAACACAUGCAAGUCGAGCGAUGAAGUUCCUUCGGGAAUGGAUUAGCGGCGGACGGGUGAGUAACACGUGGGUAACCUGCCUCAUAGAGGGGAAUAGCCUUUCGAAAGGAAGAUUAAUACCGCAUAAGAUUGUAGUAUCGCAUGAUACAGCAAUUAAAGGAGUAAUCCGCUAUGAGAUGGACCCGCGUCGCAUUAGCUAGUUGGUGAGGUAACGGCUCACCAAGGCGACGAUGCGUAGCCGACCUGAGAGGGUGAUCGGCCACAUUGGGACUGAGACACGGACCAGACUCCUACGGGAGGCAGCAGUGGGGAAUAUUGCACAAUGGGGGAAACCCUGAUGCAGCAACGCCGCGUGAGUGAUGACGGUCUUCGGAUUGUAAAGCUCUGUCUUCAGGGACGAUAAUGACGGUACCUGAGGAGGAAGCCACGGCUAACUACGUGCCAGCCGCCGCGGUAA
RNAcentral lists this ribosomal RNA (478 nucleotides) under uncultured bacterium. Its description in RNAcentral is "partial 16S ribosomal RNA". It matches the Rfam family "Bacterial small subunit ribosomal RNA", at positions 28 to 523 of the family's 1533-position model. The record is from RNAcentral.